Molecule: non-coding RNA, 36 nt
Filed under: Trypanosoma brucei brucei
Lineage: Eukaryota; Euglenozoa; Kinetoplastea; Trypanosomatida; Trypanosomatidae
Source: RNAcentral
GAGGGCAGUAUAAUACCCUCGUAUAUGGCAGUGAAU